RNAcentral lists this long non-coding RNA (570 nucleotides) under Bos indicus x Bos taurus (hybrid cattle). RNAcentral describes it as "lncRNA (ENSBIXG00000003311.1)". Lineage: Eukaryota; Metazoa; Chordata; Mammalia; Artiodactyla; Bovidae. The record is from RNAcentral.
CUUCCCCGGCUGUAUGAUUCCCUUGGAACUGUCUCCACCCUCUUCUUUCCGGCAGAUGCUGAUGCUGCCUGCCACUCUAAGAGUCAAACUGUGAUUUCAGUUGGACCCUGAAAAUUGGAGCCUGUGCUGUGCCCUUGCAGAAUGAGAGAUCCUUGACAUCUCCAUACGUGCCAAGUGCUGUGUCCAGCCCUGAGGGGGCACCCCAAGCUGGAUAAAUAAGGUCUUUCUUCAAGAAGUCUUGGCCCAGGAAAGCGCAGCUAUGGUAACAACCUCAGAGGCCUAGACGUACCCAGUUGGUGACCCAUGUGGGCCUGAGGGAAGAUACAGGGGACAAUGGAGAUCCCUGAAGUUUGCUGAGUGGUUAAAGAGAAGAAGGAACCAGAAUAGCUGGCCUCUGGAAGGUGCAUGAUGGCUGUGGGACUGUUUCCUAUCUUCAGUGUGGGCUCACGGCUUGUUUGCUCCUGAGUAAUUAACCGGAAGCUUGUGAUGGGACCCACACUCCUCAUGACUCCACAACUCUGGACCUUUCUUGACUUUAAGCAAGUCAAUAAAUCCAAGCAAAUCUAGCCA